CCUACGAGAGGCAGCAGUGAGGAAUAUUGGUCAAUGGGCGGGAGCCUGAACCAGCCAAGCCGCGUGAGGGAAGAAGGUACAGCGUAUCGUAAACCUCUUUUGUCAGGGAACAAAGGCGGGGACGAGUCCCCGGAUGAGGGUACCUGAAGAAAAAGCAUCGGCUAACUCCGUGCCAGCAGCCGCGGUAAUACGGAGGGUGCGAGCGUUAAGCGGAAUUACUGGGCGUAAAGCGCUCGUAGGCGGUAUGUCAAGUCAAGGGGGAAAUCCCCGCGCUCCACGUUGGAACUGCCUUUGAAACGGGCAAACUGGAGUGUGUGCGAGUCUAGUGGACUUCCAGGUGUCGGCGUGCAAUCCGUAGAUAUCUGGCGGAACCUCAGUGGCGAAUGCGACUCUCUGGCCCAUAACUGACGCUGAGGCGCG
Molecule: ribosomal RNA, 420 nt
Filed under: uncultured bacterium
Lineage: Bacteria
Description: partial 16S ribosomal RNA
Rfam family: Bacterial small subunit ribosomal RNA
Source: RNAcentral